Molecule: ribosomal RNA, 866 nt
Filed under: Vibrio sp. PKP6
Lineage: Bacteria; Pseudomonadati; Pseudomonadota; Gammaproteobacteria; Vibrionales; Vibrionaceae
Description: bacterial SSU rRNA
Rfam family: Bacterial small subunit ribosomal RNA
Source: RNAcentral
GGGCUCAACCUCGGGAUAGCAUUUGAAACUGGCAUACUAGAGUACUGUAGAGGGGGGUAGAACUUCAGGUGGAGCGGUGUAACGCGUAGAGAUCUGAAGGAAUACCAGUCCCGAAGGCCGCCCACGCGACAGAUACUGACACUCAGAUGCGAAAGCGUGGGGAGCAAACACGAUUAGAUACCCUGGUAGUCCACGCCGUAAACGAUGUCCACCUGGAGGUCGUGGCCCUGAGCCGUGGCUUUCGGAGCUAACGCGUUAAGUAGACCGCGUGGGGAGUACGGUCGCAAGAUUAAUACUCAAAUGAAUUGACGGGGGCCCGCACAAGCGGCGGAGCAUGUGGUUUAAUUCGAUGCCACGCGAAGAACCUUACCUACUCUUCACAUCCAGAGAACUUUCCAGAGAUGGAUUGGUGCCUUCGGGAACUCUGAGACAGGUGCUGCAUGGUCGUCGUCAGCUCGUGUUGUGAAAUGUUGGGUUAAGUCCCGCAACGAGCGCAACCCUUAUCUUUGUUUGCCAGCACUUUGGGUGGGAACUCCAGGGAGACUGCCGGUGAUAAACCGGAGGAAGGUGGGGGUGACGUCAAGUCAUCAUGGCCCUUACGAGUAGGGCUACACACGUGCCAUAAUGGCGCAUACAGAGGGCAGCCAACUUGCGAGAGUGAGCGAAUCCCAAAAAGUGAGUCGUAGUCGGGAUCGGAGUCUGCAACUCGACUCCGUGAAGUCGGAAUCGCUAGUAAUCGUGGAUCAGAAUGCCACGGUGAAUACGUUCCCGGGCCUUGUACACACCCCCCGUCACACCAUGGGAGUGGGCUGCAAAAGAAGUAGUUAGUUUAACCUUGGGAGGACGCUUUCCACUUUCUGGUUAAU